RNAcentral lists this ribosomal RNA (488 nucleotides) under Staphylococcus pseudintermedius. RNAcentral's name for it is "partial 23S ribosomal RNA". It matches the Rfam family "Bacterial large subunit ribosomal RNA", at positions 1013 to 1503 of the family's 2925-position model. Lineage: Bacteria; Bacillati; Bacillota; Bacilli; Caryophanales; Staphylococcaceae. The record is from RNAcentral.
GAAAGGGAAACAGCCCAGACCACCAGCUAAGGUCCCAAAAUAUAUGUUAAGUGGAAAAGGAUGUGGCGUUGCCCAGACAACUAGGAUGUUGGCUUAGAAGCAGCCAUCAUUUAAAGAGUGCGUAAUAGCUCACUAGUCGAGUGACACUGCGCCGAAAAUGUACCGGGGCUAAACAUAUUACCGAAGCUGUGGAUUGUCCUUUGGACAAUGGUAGGAGAGCGUUCUAAGGGCGUUGAAGCAUGAUCGCAAGGACAUGUGGAGCGCUUAGAAGUGAGAAUGCCGGUGUGAGUAGCGAAAGACGGGUGAGAAUCCCGUCCACCGAUUGACUAAGGUUUCCAGAGGAAGGCUCGUCCGCUCUGGGUUAGUCGGGUCCUAAGCUGAGGCCGACAGGCGUAGGCGAUGGAUAACAGGUUGAUAUUCCUGUACCACCAUUAUUCGUUUUAAGCGAUGGGGGGACGCAGUAGGAUAGGCGAAGCGUGCUGUUGGAG